This 640-nucleotide ribosomal RNA is filed under the name Vibrio parahaemolyticus. Its description in RNAcentral is "partial 23S ribosomal RNA". It matches the Rfam family "Bacterial large subunit ribosomal RNA", at positions 607 to 1251 of the family's 2925-position model. The record is from RNAcentral. Lineage: Bacteria; Pseudomonadati; Pseudomonadota; Gammaproteobacteria; Vibrionales; Vibrionaceae.
UUUGUAUAAUGGGUCAGCGACUUAUAUUCAGUGGCAAGGUUAACCAUCUAGGGGAGCCGUAGGGAAACCGAGUCUUAACUGGGCGUUCAGUCUCUGGAUAUAGACCCGAAACCAGGUGAUCUAGCCAUGGGCAGGUUGAAGGUUGAGUAACAUCAACUGGAGGACCGAACCGACUAAUGUUGAAAAAUUAGCGGAUGACUUGUGGCUAGGGGUGAAAGGCCAAUCAAACCUGGAGAUAGCUGGUUCUCCCCGAAAGCUAUUUAGGUAGCGCCUCGGACGAAUACUACUGGGGGUAGAGCACUGUUAAGGCUAGGGGGUCAUCCCGACUUACCAACCCUUUGCAAACUCCGAAUACCAGUAAGUACUAUCCGGGAGACACACGGCGGGUGCUAACGUCCGUCGUGGAGAGGGAAACAACCCAGACCGCCAGCUAAGGUCCCAAAUUACUGCUAAGUGGGAAACGAUGUGGGAAGGCUCAGACAGCCAGGAUGUUGGCUUAGAAGCAGCCAUCAUUUAAAGAAAGCGUAAUAGCUCACUGGUCGAGUCGGCCUGCGCGGAAGAUGUAACGGGGCUAAGUAGUAAACCGAAGCUGCGGCAAUAUACUUUUGUAUAUUGGGUAGGGGAGCGUUCUGUAAGCGGU